GCAGGAGCCACUCUCUGCUGCCAGUCAGGAGCUUUCACUCAGCCAGUCACCCUUAACCACAUACUUAAAUCCAGACCAGAUUUGUUGCUCCAGUUCCCUGUACUGGUGUAGCUCAGUAAAUAAUGAAGCAUGAUGCUGGUCAAACUUUCAAGCAGGUUUAACAUUUAAGCAAAUUGUCAGUGGACUGGAAAGAAAGAGGGAAGGCAACUUGACAACAUCCUGCUGACCCAAAACUGGAGAAGUCUGUUCUACCUUUCAAAGCUCUUGAGACACUUUUUGACUGCUGUUUCUGCUCAAAUAUAAAAUCAAUCCUAGGAGACUACCAAGAUUGGUUUCUGGCUGUGUGCAAAGGAGAAGUUAUUUCAAUGACAGAAUGGAGUGUCCACACAGGUCACUGCGAAAGGCUGGGGAACGUGUGGUUUUGAGGGCUUUUGAGACCCAUCUGGGCAAACCUUCUCCAACAUUGUCUGCUCUCAUAGUUUGCCAUUCUCUGUGAUGGAGGUCAGACCAGAGACCUCCUGGGAUCCCUCCCCACCUUUAUGACUGUGCUGAUCCUAUGGAUUCACCUUCCCUUGAGGUUACCGGCCUUGGAGGUGAUUUCUAACUGGAAAAGAAGCCCAUUUGCAAGAGGAUGCUUGAUGGGUCAGUGGGUACCACGAGGGCCCUGUCUGGGGAUUGCUUCAUACGUGGAAUAUGCCAUACUCUUUUUCCUGUUACUUUAUUCCCUUUCCUGUGGGUUGAGUAAAAAAAACCCUGAAGGAAAUUAUACCAUUCUAACCAAAAAGUAACAUAUUAAGACAAUUUGCAUUUUUAUUAAAAAAAGACAUAUUUUAUCUUUAAAAUAUAACCAGUGAUAGACACAAAAGGAUAAUCUCUAGGAUAAUGACACACUUCAGUACACUAGGCAAUUAGGUUUGCCUUUAAUUAUUUAUAGUUUGACAUGCUGCUCAUACAAAUACUCUGUGUAACAGGAGGAAGUCAGUUUGACCUUAAUUAUUGCCUGUAAAUAAUUCCUGAAUUGUAACUAAGUAGUGCCUUUUAAAAUGUAAUUAUUAUAAUACCGAAGUUACAGACCUCAUUGAUUUAUAAUUACUUAAUUGUUUCUACCCAUUAAACCACAGUUGUGAUAGGUUCAUCUUUCCUACAUGCCCUAGCCUGGAAACUGAGGAGUUAUGGCCAAGAACUCGGACUAAUGUUAUCUCCCACAGUUAAAUGGCUGAACAAUCAUUCCAGUCUGGACAAGGUUAGCGGGGGGUCAAGAGAUAGCCGAGAGAUAGUGGGCAAUGAGCUGGGCAUUUCAGUACAUAUCCUUCAGAAUAACAAUGAGGGGAGAAAGAAAUACAAAACAUCCAUACCUCUAGGGUCUUGAGCUCUCUCCAGGUAAAUCAGACAAAAAGCUACUUCUUUGUGACUCUGAUUGUACACUUUCCGGGUCAUAAUGUAUAGUGAGCUAUUGGGCAUAGUGCUAACUGUGCUGCUGGGAAACAGAAAACCCAAAAAUGAUGUGAUUUUUUUUUUCUCUACAUAUCAACACAGGUUAUCUAGCUGUUCACACAUUUGUAUGGAAGGGAGACUGUCAUUUUGCUUCUUGUGACCUGCACUUUAACACUGUAAAAGCAUUUCACAGGGAGAGCUCAACCCCCAGUGUUGUGACUCAACGCCAGCCAGCCACAGCCAGCCACUAAACCCCACACAGCUGCUCGAGUCCCUGUGUUAUCAACAGUGUUUCCAGAACAAAUCCAGACAUAGCCCCAUGUUGGCUGCUAUGAAGACAAUUAACUCUAUCCCAGCCAAACCCAGCACACACACAUGAUGCUCCUGUCUAAUACAUUCGGUUCUUUGUGUGCCACUGUCUGGUGAUCACCAUCCAAGCCACUGCUGUAUUACAUGUGUUUCUCUGAGAGGGAAAAAAAAAAGAAGGAUAUUGAUAAUGAAGCCUUUCAAAGUAGUCAGCAUGACACACACUUAAAUUGUAAACCUCAUCCGGCAGAGGAGCGGAAAUGUCAGCACGUUUCUCAGAUGUCAAUGCUGAGAAAGUAAAGAUCCACAUUCUACUGAAAAGACCUACUGUGAUUUGCUCUAAAUGAGGUGGCACUUAGAAAUAAUCUGUGUAAAUUUUAAAAGCAUUAAAAUUUUGAUUUAGUUCAAGUAAGCCUUGGUUCAAAUCUUUUGCUGUCUUACAGUGCAGUAAAAUCCAGCAGCUAAGAAGUGUAUGAAUUCUGUGUGCUACAGAAAUAGACCCUAGGAGUGUUAGAACUGUGAUCUGAACAACUUAAAUAAUCAUUCACAAAGCAGG
Poecile atricapillus (Black-capped chickadee) is the source of this 2296-nucleotide long non-coding RNA. RefSeq lists it as uncharacterized. The record is from RefSeq and is a predicted model, not a curated record. The transcript is spliced from 3 exons. Lineage: Eukaryota; Metazoa; Chordata; Aves; Passeriformes; Paridae.